Molecule: regulatory RNA element, 58 nt
Rfam family: terC RNA
Source: Rfam
CUCGCGGACCGGGCCCCUCUGGCGCGCUUUUUUCAGCGCGUGAUGUCGGACCGCAUCG